GACGAACGCUGGCGGCGUGCCUAAUACAUGCAAGUCGAACGCUUCUUUUCUACCGAGUGCUUGCACUCAAUUGAAAAGAGGAGUGGCGGACGGGUGAGUAACACGUGGGUAACCUGCCCAUCAGAAGGGGAUAACACUUGGAAACAGGUGCUAAUACCGUAUAACAAUGAGAACCGCAUGGUUCUCAUUUGAAAGGCGCUUUCGGGUGUCGCUGAUGGAUGGACCCGCGGUGCAUUAGCUAGUUGGUGAGGUAACGGCUCACCAAGGCAACGAUGCAUAGCCGACCUGAGAGGGUGAUCGGCCACACUGGGACUGAGACACGGCCCAGACUCCUACGGGAGGCAGCAGUAGGGAAUCUUCCGCAAUGGACGAAAGUCUGACGGAGCAACGCCGCGUGUGUGAAGAAGGUUUUCGGAUCGUAAAGCACUGUUGUUAGAGAAGAACAAGGAUAAGAGUAACUGCUUGUCCCUUGACGGUAUCUAACCAGAAAGCCACGGCUAACUACGUGCCAGCAGCCGCAGUAAAAC
RNAcentral lists this ribosomal RNA (527 nucleotides) under uncultured bacterium. RNAcentral describes it as "bacterial SSU rRNA". It matches the Rfam family "Bacterial small subunit ribosomal RNA", at positions 28 to 526 of the family's 1533-position model. The record is from RNAcentral.